Bos indicus x Bos taurus (hybrid cattle) is the source of this 345-nucleotide long non-coding RNA. The record is from Ensembl. NCBI's taxonomy places the organism in Eukaryota, Metazoa, Chordata, Mammalia, Artiodactyla, Bovidae.
AUGUCUGCCUGCCCAACAGAAAGAAGAAGAGGACGCAGGAAGCAUGCAAAGAGCUUCCUCCCAAGAACUAACUCCUCCUUUCUGGAAGGACACCCUCCCCAAGGACUUCUGUCUAAUCACAUCGGCUCUGCUCCCUGGCCACAGUGUGGGGGUUACUUUCCCAACCCCAGAUUCAGAGUAAGAAAUGGCAGCCCACUCCAAUAUUCAAGCCUGGAAAGCUAUCAAUAUCAGGUUAAAAUAAUUACUCCUUUGGGAACAUUUCGUUAACUUCAUUUACAGAGAUCUAAAUUCCAUCCAAGCAAAAGACGUAAUAAAUGCAAAACUCAAUUGGAAAAAUAAAGAGGU